GAAUGCUGACAUAAGUAACGAUAAAGCGGGUGAAAAGCCCGCUCGCCGGAAGACCAAGGGUUCCUGUCCAACGUUAAUCGGGGCAGGGUGAGUCGACCCCUAAGGCGAGGCCGAAAGGCGUAGUCGAUGGGAAACGGGUUAAUAUUCCCGUACUUGGUGUUACUGCGAAGGGGGGACGGAGAAGGCUAUGUUGGCCGGGCGACGGUUGUCCC
Molecule: ribosomal RNA, 212 nt
Filed under: Salmonella enterica subsp. enterica serovar Infantis
Lineage: Bacteria; Pseudomonadati; Pseudomonadota; Gammaproteobacteria; Enterobacterales; Enterobacteriaceae
Also listed under: 2 other names
Description: partial 23S ribosomal RNA
Rfam family: Bacterial large subunit ribosomal RNA
Source: RNAcentral